This 355-nucleotide ribosomal RNA is filed under the name uncultured bacterium. RNAcentral's name for it is "bacterial SSU rRNA". It matches the Rfam family "Bacterial small subunit ribosomal RNA", at positions 1 to 334 of the family's 1533-position model. The record is from RNAcentral.
CUAGCGACUUCAGAGUUUGAUCCUGGCUCAGGAUGAACGCUGGCGGCGUGCUUAACACAUGCAAGUCGAACGAAGCACUUCUACUGAUCCCCUCGGGGUGAUUUAGUUGUGACUGAGUGGCGGACGGGUGAGUAACGCGUGGGUAACCUGCCUCAUACAGGGGGAUAACAGUUAGAAAUGACUGCUAAUACCGCAUAAGCGCACAGUACUGCAUGGUACAGUGUGAAAAACUCCGGUGGUAUGAGAUGGACCCGCGUCUGAUUAGCUAGUUGGUGGGGUAACGGCCCACCAAGGCGACGAUCAGUAGCCGGCCUGAGAGGGCGACCGGCCACAUUGGGACUGAGACACGGCCCAG